AACAUGCACCUGCUUGGUAUGUAAGCCUAGCUGCUGCUCUUCUGAUGGUUAAUUAAUAACAAAUAACGUUAUUAGUAAGAGUUAUUAGGUAGCGAACAUAGAUUGACGAACUGUACAGGACAUGGAAAUGCGCUUUUAUGCGUUACAAUGAAGUCUUGUUUUUCGUCGUAGGCCUAUAUCUACAGGAUGAGGCGCGUAUUGUCUUCCACUGAUGGCAGAAUGAACCCGAUUACGUGAACGUAUUUCCUCAAUCCAUCAUGUUGUUUCUCCAUCGGUUGUUUGUUUUUCGAUUCGACUGAAAGAUAACCGACGUUGACAUGCAGGUGCACCACAAUGUUGCUGCAGCCGUUCGUACGAUUCGUUGGGGAUUAAUCGGAACAUCCAGAAGUACUCCGGUCAUACACUGACGUUACUGCAGUGUAGCUGCAGUUCCGUUACCCAAUUGGUGCUGGAGAAAGGACAUCACAGGACCAUCUCGCCGGGAUGGGGCUUCUAGAAUGUCGCGACUGCUAGCCCACAUGCACAUGGAACGCGGAACCGGAAUUCUCCCCAACGGAUGGGAAUCAUAGCGAUGUGCUAGCCGCGAUUGUUCCAUCAGCAAGGUGUGAAUGGCGACGGCGUCUAGCAUGCUAGCGGCUAAGCGUCUGAACACGCUGCUAGGCUAGCACACAGCCCUGCCACUGGAGCCUUCUACCUAACGCAAAC
Gadus chalcogrammus (walleye pollock) is the source of this 705-nucleotide long non-coding RNA. RefSeq lists it as uncharacterized. The transcript is spliced from 3 exons. NCBI's taxonomy places the organism in Eukaryota, Metazoa, Chordata, Actinopteri, Gadiformes, Gadidae. The record is from RefSeq and is a predicted model, not a curated record.